This is a microRNA precursor of Gossypium arboreum, 146 nucleotides long. It matches the Rfam family "MIR7502 microRNA precursor family". The record is from Rfam. NCBI's taxonomy places the organism in Eukaryota, Viridiplantae, Streptophyta, Magnoliopsida, Malvales, Malvaceae.
UGUUAAAAAAUUGAUUCAUUUCAACUAUUAAAAAAUUGGCAUGGCUGGUAGAAUAACCAAAUAAUGACACAUGUCGUGCCACGUGUACCUCAUGUUGAUGCACAUUAACCAUUUUUUAAUAGUAGAAAUGGAUACAAUUUUUAACA